GAUGAACGCUGGCGGCGUGCCUAAUACAUGCAAGUCGAGCGAACGGACGAGAAGCUUGCUUCUCUGAUGUUAGCGGCGGACGGGUGAGUAACACGUGGAUAACCUACCUAUAAGACUGGGAUAACUUCGGGAAACCGGAGCUAAUACCGGAUAAUAUUUUGAACCGCAUGGUUCAAAAGUGAAAGACGGUCUUGCUGUCACUUAUAGAUGGAUCCGCGCUGCAUUAGCUAGUUGGUAAGGUAACGGCUUACCAAGGCAACGAUGCAUAGCCGACCUGAGAGGGUGAUCGGCCACACUGGAACUGGGCCACGGUCCAGACUCCUACGGGAGGCAGCAGUAGGGAAUGUUCCGCAAUGGGCGAAAGCCUGACGGAGCAACGCCGCGUGAGUGAUGAAGGUCUUCGGAUCGUAAAACUCUGUUAUUAGGGAAGAACAUAUGUGUAAGUAACUGUGCACAUCUUGACGGUACCUAAUCAGAAAGCCACGGCUAACUACGUG
This 497-nucleotide ribosomal RNA is filed under the name uncultured bacterium. RNAcentral's name for it is "partial 16S ribosomal RNA". It matches the Rfam family "Bacterial small subunit ribosomal RNA", at positions 28 to 507 of the family's 1533-position model. The record is from RNAcentral.